AGCGUUGCUCGGAAUCACUGGGCGUAAAGCGCACGUAGGCGGAUUGCUAAGUCAGGGGUGAAAUCCUGGAGCUCAACUCCAGAACUGCCUUUGAUACUGGCGACCUUGAGUCCGGGAGAGGUGAGUGGAACUGCGAGUGUAGAGGUGAAAUUCGUAGAUAUUCGCAAGAACACCAGUGGCGAAGGCGGCUCACUGGCCCGGUACUGACGCUGAGGUGCGAAAGCGUGGGGAGCAAACAGG
RNAcentral lists this ribosomal RNA (240 nucleotides) under uncultured bacterium. Its description in RNAcentral is "partial 16S ribosomal RNA". It matches the Rfam family "Bacterial small subunit ribosomal RNA", at positions 537 to 776 of the family's 1533-position model. The record is from RNAcentral.